GCCCGGGUGGCGAAAUUGGUAGACGCAAGGGACUUAAAAUCCCUCGGUGGCAACACCGUGCCGGUUCGAGUCCGGCCCCGGGCACCA
This 87-nucleotide transfer RNA is filed under the name Gammaproteobacteria bacterium. RNAcentral's name for it is "tRNA-Leu". It matches the Rfam family "tRNA". From Rfam's summary of the family: Transfer RNA (tRNA) molecules are approximately 80 nucleotides in length. Their secondary structure includes four short double-helical elements and three loops (D, anti-codon, and T loops). Further hydrogen bonds mediate the characteristic L-shaped molecular structure. tRNAs have two regions of fundamental functional importance: the anti-codon, which is responsible for specific mRNA codon recognition, and the 3' end, to which the tRNAs corresponding amino acid is attached (by aminoacyl-tRNA synthetases). tRNAs cope with the degeneracy of the genetic code in two manners: having more than one tRNA (with a specific anti-codon) for a particular amino acid; and 'wobble' base-pairing, i.e. permitting non-standard base-pairing at the 3rd anti-codon position. RNAcentral also lists the same sequence under 9 other names. The record is from RNAcentral. Lineage: Bacteria; Pseudomonadati; Pseudomonadota; Gammaproteobacteria.